CACGUAGGGUGCGAGCGUUGUCCGGAAUUAUUGGGCGUAAAGAGCUCGUAGGCGGUGUGUCGCGUCGGCCGUGAAAACCUGCAGCUUAACUGUGGGCUUGCGGUCGAUACGGGCAUCACUGGAGUUCGGCAGGGGAGACUGGAAUUCCUGGUGUAGCGAUGAAAUGCGCAGAUAUCAGGAGGAACACCGGUGGCGAAGGCGGGUCUCUGGGCCGAUACUGACGCUGAGGAGCGAAAGCGUGGGGAGCGAACAGG
RNAcentral lists this ribosomal RNA (254 nucleotides) under uncultured bacterium. Its description in RNAcentral is "partial 16S ribosomal RNA". It matches the Rfam family "Bacterial small subunit ribosomal RNA", at positions 524 to 776 of the family's 1533-position model. The record is from RNAcentral.